AUCCAGGUGACGAGUCCCAAACAGGACGAAACGUGGGGCCUGGAU
Molecule: non-coding RNA, 45 nt
Filed under: Schistosoma margrebowiei
Lineage: Eukaryota; Metazoa; Platyhelminthes; Trematoda; Strigeidida; Schistosomatidae
Source: RNAcentral